Molecule: long non-coding RNA, 255 nt
Organism: Cotesia glomerata
Lineage: Eukaryota; Metazoa; Arthropoda; Insecta; Hymenoptera; Braconidae
Exons: 3
Source: RefSeq, a predicted model, not a curated record
GAAUUGGUUUUCAGUUUCUUAUUCAGAAAGAAACAAUUUGGUAUUGAAUAUUGUGUGGCAGGCCAAAGAAAAGGCUAUCCGAUUGAUGCAGUAAAUAAACGGAUGUGUCUAAAAAAAUGAACAACUAUAUGUAACCAGGGCAUAAAUUUGAUGAAUUUUGAUUUAAAUAACACACUUCACACAAAGGCUAAAACUUCGACAAUCUUAGUUGCAGAAAAAAUAUUGUAAAAUUGCUGAGGAAUACCAGAAAUAAAA